GGCACCUGGCCCAAGGAAAGCUGGUUUUCAGAGCGGGUGUGCCGGUAGGCUCUCGGGAAUGGCUUGCUGUGUGCCAGGAGGCCAGGCUAAGAUCGAACAUUGCAUUUCUUCAAGGUAUAACUGCAUAUUUUGAACACUGCUGCCCCGUGUCAGGUCACUGUCACUACUCGGCUGCCAGCCCUACCUGGGAGGUCACAGGUUCCACACUGGGAGGCUCUCUCCAGGCACAGCUGUUCCCUGGCUCAUAGACUCUUCACCUGCUGACACCCAAGGGUGGCCCUUCAGGGACUUGCGGCAGGCACCUUGCUCCUGGGACCAUGCAUGUGUUUCCUCGUGGCUGGAAGGACUUGGUGGAGGCAUAGAGAGAUGACAUUGUGGGCCUCAGCUGGUCGGUGGCAGAGCAGAGAUCGAAAUCCCACAAGCUUGACUCCACAUUCUUCUCGUAGGAAAAUCUGGAGGUGCUCGUCCUGGAAUCCUCUCGCCCUGCUGUGAGGAAGCCCAAGCCAGCUCACGUGGAGAGGCCACAGGAAGGUGUUAUGGUCCACAGCCAGCUAGGGCCCAGCCCACAGAAAGUCAACAGCAACCACCAGACACUCCACUGCAGUGUCACAGCCCCAAGGACAACAGGAUGCUUUCUCUGGUCUGGUCUGAGGACAGUGUUCCACAGACAGCAGGUGUCCAGCGACUGCCCAGCCAGCCAGGCCCAGCCCAACUUGUGAAGGAGGAAGAGACCCGAGAUGCCCAGAGGUGAUGCUCUCUGCAACUCCCAAGGCCAGCAUGUCCAGGCUGGCAGCUCCAAGACUGAGCUCUGCUUUCACAGCUUCGGACCCCACAGAGGAUGUCCCCUCUGAGGCCAGCAUGGCAGAGAGGUCACCUGUGAGGCACGGGACCUGUGAUCCUAGCAGAGCCACCUCCCAGCCUUCUCCUCCCAGAUGUGAGAGAGACCACUUGCCCUGCAGAAAAGACCUUCCCAAAGUUACUCAAGCUCAAGAGCCCAGACUCCUCAACAACUUUGCAGACUUCUUCAGACUACUGAGUGACCUUCACUUGGCCCAGUGCAAGGGGAUCAUUAUGGAAGCACAAUGUUAUUUGAGUAUAAGGGAUGGCUCUGCUGGCAUGGUGAACCUGGACCCAGGUGUCGUGAAAGCUUGCCAAUAAACCUGAACUGUCCUUGGCUCAUGGGGGAGAAGUAGAUACCUGGUUGUGAGCCCUGAAACGGAAGAUGACAGCCACGUGCUUUGACAGCAAGAUUGAAAACUGAGGCCCAUCUGACCUCCUUCUGGAGAGGAGUUUCUUAUCAGAGAACACCUCGGCCCUAUGAAUCUGGUUUUAGCAGGAGAGAGACGGUGUUUGAGAUGAGCCAGGGACGCUCACUGAAGACACACACUCUGCUGCAGAGACGUCACAAUGCACCUGCCCUGUUCCCUCUAGCCAUUUUAUCAAGGACACGGAGCGGCAGGUCUGGUAUGGAGAGGCCCCUGGAAAGACAGCUACUUGGAGACAAUGUAUGCAAUUCCGAAGCUCCAAAGUGGCUGGAGUAUCAGGUCAGAACAAAAACACCCUAAAAAUCAUCAGGCGUCCUCGAUCCACUAGGGUUAGGAAGUGCACCAAUGUACUUCGGUUCAGGACAGAGCCCUCCAGUGCCGUGUGGCCCCAGGCCUCCUGGGAGCGGCAUGGGCUGCCAAGGCCACUCAGGUGCUCCUAGGCCACCGCGGCCCGACAGCCUGUCGGCCCAAAGCCAGCCAUUGCCAGCGGAUCUGGGUCCAUCAGAAACAUUGCGGAAAACAAAACUGAGUCCCUUCAGUUUAAUAGCUAUUAAAAAAAAAUGUGUGUGUAGGGCACCUUGAUUUCCUUUGCCUCAAGGUCUUUUAAAAAUGGAUUGCCAGGGAAACAUUUCUGCAGACUGAGGGUGUUGUGCUCUAUGACGUAGUAGGAAGCCUGUGUGCUACGAUCUGUCAGUUAAUCUGCUAACCAAGUAUGGAGCCUGGAGGUGCAGAGCCCAAAGAAAGGCAUGUGGGUUUCAGAUUCUCUGAGAGCCAGGCUCUGUAAAGGUUUAAUCUAAGAUGACAGCAGAAUCGUCCAGCAUCUGUCUGCCAUCCUCAGGAGACCCGAUUUGUGGCUCUGUUGUAGUAGACUCACACCUGCCAUCGAGGACAAACCCAGGUGGCUUAUGGUCCUUCAAAGCCCUUUGUUAGAGUCUCUCAUUAUUGUCUUUCCAGGGAGGAGUGCCUCACAUGGGUCCCUGGCUCCCGCCGUGCCCACAUGGCUCCUGCAUGGCGGAGGUUAGUUCAGGGAGGUCGCUGCCCACAGGUUAGAGGCACAGGCUGGUGGUCACCUUGAGUGACCAGGUAGAGUUUUCUAUAACAAUCAUUGCACGCAGCACAACCUUAUAGGCGAAGAUUUCUGAGUUCAGGGACUUGGGGUUGAAGUGAGGAAGCCCCUCACCACAGGGACAAAAUUCAGCCUGGGUGCAAAGAAAUUCACGAUACACAGAAUGCCAAGUUGGAGAAAGAGGCUACUGCCCCCAAGAGCAGUGCGGAGCCACAGGAGAGGAAGCUCGUCCAAAGCCCACUGCUCUGCCAGCUCCCCAUCACGGGAGAGAACACCCAGGCUUGGCAUCCUCCCCCAACCCAGCAAAGGUUUUGAGUGGUUUUCAUUUAAUCUGAGUGAAGUAAAAUGAUAAUGGACCCUGUAAAAAUCUGGCAUAAUUAAAAUGUUCAAACUUCAGAUAUAAAUUUUCCUACACUUUCUCUUCCCCUUUGCAAUAUCUUCAACUGCUUUAAUGUCCCAGAAAAAAAUAGCUAUUAAAAAAAAAUGUGUGUGUAGGGCACCUCGAUUUCCUUUGCCGCAGGCAAAAUCACAGCACUGAGAUCAAGGUCACAGUCCACACCACAUGGGACAAUUAAGACAAUCCUCCAAGAGGAGGUGAUGCUUCUUGGUCUUAGAUCAGUUUUGAUGACACAAAUCUAAGAACUUCAAAGGUUAUGCAAAUAUUGACCAACCAUCCUCCUAACCCUUAAGAGGGGGCACUUUUUUCCACAUGCCUAUGUCGGCUCCUUGAUUCUCUUAAUUAGAAACUCGUGGCCAACAGUUUUAUCCUGCGCCUGAUGGAGGCCACCUACAAGGUAUUUACUGCAUUUGGGCCAAGAACUUGCACCUGCGCUACGAUUCCGAGGACGGCCACCAGAGGGAAGCACUAGCCCGCGUGCGCAGACUUGGUGCCCCACCGCGCGUUGCUUGACGCGCUUCUCCUGCAGGACAGGCACAUUUUCAGGCGGGAGGUGGACGGAAACGUGGUGCUGUCGUCCUGGUCUUCCACAGCAGUAAGCUGAACUCAUUUCGCUUACCACAAGAGCAGGCACUCUGUUGCCCGUGAGCCCUGCUUGGUGCGGUGGUGAUUCAAACACAGGAUGCGAGGUGCAGGCAGCCCGGCUCCAGUCCCGCUGUGCGGCGGGGUCUGCAGCCUGUUCCUUCUCUGAAGAAAGACCGUACACAGGGCCUGAAACCCUCCCCUUGCUGCAGGGCCCAUGCUGGGGACGCCACCCUUAGCGGGAGAGGGACUAUUUUUCCUGUUGGCUAUGAGCUUUCUACUGCAGAGUGGGCGCAGAGCAGGUCUCGGAAACAGGUAGGGGCACGAUCUCCGUGCUGGGCCAGGCUGCAGGUGCUGGUUGAGCCCUGGGCCCUGCCGCUCCUUGUCACCCCCGGGCACCUGGCGCUGUCCCUGGGAGGGGCCCCCUGGCACCCUUGCUGCAGGAUCCUGGACAUAGGUGGGCUCUUCUCUGAGAGAAGAGCCUGUGACUGGGGUGGGGUGGUUGUAUGAAGAAGCUGCAGCUGCCAGAGUGGUGCAGAGGAGGGUGGGCACCCAGGUGGGCAGUUGGAGGAGGUGAUCAGCAGAGCUAGCUUUGUGAGGGCAAGUGUGUGGGUGGCCACCUUGGGGGAGAACUGAAAGAUGGAGGUGGCCUCUGUCAGGACAGCAGGUUCCAGGUCCCUGGGUGCCCACCUGCGCAAGCAGGAGGGGGAGCAGGCACUGCAGAAAAGAGGUUGGCAAAGGCAGGGCUGGGUCGCAGGUUUUGUCCCAGUGUGGGGGGAGCCAUGAAG
Ictidomys tridecemlineatus (thirteen-lined ground squirrel) is the source of this 4098-nucleotide non-coding RNA. NCBI's taxonomy places the organism in Eukaryota, Metazoa, Chordata, Mammalia, Rodentia, Sciuridae. The record is from RefSeq and is a predicted model, not a curated record.